GUGCUUGCUUUGGCAGAACAUUUUCUAAAACUGGAGCUAUACAGAGAAAAGACUAGCAUGACUCCUGAGCGAAUAGUGACAUGCAGAUCUGUGAGGUGUUCCAUAUUUUU
Molecule: small nuclear RNA, 110 nt
Organism: Meriones unguiculatus (Mongolian gerbil)
Lineage: Eukaryota; Metazoa; Chordata; Mammalia; Rodentia; Muridae
Source: Ensembl